UACGAGUGGUGCGAACGUUAUUCGGAAUCACUGGGCUUAAAGGGUGCGUAGGCUGCUGUAAAGGUCUGAUGUGAAAUACCACGGCUCAACCGUGGAACGGCAUUGGAAACCAUACAGCUUGAGUGAGAUAGAGGUAAGCGGAACAGAUGGUGGAGCGGUGAAAUGCGUUGAUAUCAUCUGGAACACCGGUGGCGAAAGCGGCUUACUGGGUCUUUACUGACGCUGAUGCACGAAAGCUAGGGGAGCAAACGGG
This 253-nucleotide ribosomal RNA is filed under the name uncultured bacterium. RNAcentral describes it as "partial 16S ribosomal RNA". It matches the Rfam family "Bacterial small subunit ribosomal RNA", at positions 524 to 776 of the family's 1533-position model. The record is from RNAcentral.